GUCGCGGUAGCCCAGUUGGUAGAGGUGUCGGCAGUACAGAUUCCGAAAAGCGCAGGUUCAAUUCCUGCCUGCGGUG
Non-coding RNA from Phthorimaea operculella (potato tuberworm), 76 nucleotides. NCBI's taxonomy places the organism in Eukaryota, Metazoa, Arthropoda, Insecta, Lepidoptera, Gelechiidae. The record is from the annotation of a GenBank genome assembly.